AAUGAACGCUGGCGGCAUGCCUAACACAUGCAAGUCGAACGACAACACAGGGAGAUUUCGCCCCUGCGGGUGGCGAGUGGCGGACGCGUCACGCAUGCAUCGCAUACCUCUCCGACUGGGGUGAUAACGUAGGAAAACUUCUACUAACACCGCAUAUAUCGAACGGGUUGGUGCAGGGGUUCGUGGAGCUUUUUGUGAGGGUAAUAGCCUAUGUCGGCUCAGCUAGUUGGCUGGGUAAAGGCCCACCAAGGCCACGCUGCGUAGCUGAUCUGAGAGGAUGAUCGGCCACACUGGAACUGAGACACGGUCCAGACUCCUACGGGAGGCAGCAGUAGGGAAUCUUGCGCAAUGGGCGAAAGCCUGAUGCAGCAAUACCGCGUGAGUGAUGAAGGCCUUCGGGUUGUAAAGCCCUGUUGUUAGGAAAGAAAAAAAGCGGAUUUAUCCAGGGCUGUUCUGACGGUACCGAAAGAAUAAGCACCGGCUAACUUCGUG
Molecule: ribosomal RNA, 492 nt
Filed under: uncultured bacterium
Lineage: Bacteria
Description: partial 16S ribosomal RNA
Rfam family: Bacterial small subunit ribosomal RNA
Source: RNAcentral